AAGACUAUAGACCUGCGGAGUACCUGCGGAGGGAUCAUUAAUGAAAUCAUAUUCUCCUUUGGAGUUUCUUCUAGCUGAUGCGUCUUUUGGCUGCACGCUGUUGUCACUCUUUAGGGGUUAUAUUUCCACAAACCCUUCUGUGCAUAUUGGGAGGCUUUAUUGUCCUCUCCUAAUUCAUAUACUCUAAUGUUUAAUCAUGUCAUACAAUGUUAAAUACAUUAAACAACUUUUAACAAUGGA
RNAcentral lists this unclassified non-coding RNA (240 nucleotides) under soil metagenome. RNAcentral's name for it is "partial contains 5.8S ribosomal RNA, internal transcribed spacer 2, and large subunit ribosomal RNA". The record is from RNAcentral.